This 73-nucleotide transfer RNA is filed under the name Ornithorhynchus anatinus (platypus). It matches the Rfam family "tRNA". Rfam says of the family: Transfer RNA (tRNA) molecules are approximately 80 nucleotides in length. Their secondary structure includes four short double-helical elements and three loops (D, anti-codon, and T loops). Lineage: Eukaryota; Metazoa; Chordata; Mammalia; Monotremata; Ornithorhynchidae. The record is from Rfam by way of RNAcentral.
AGUAGUGUGGCUCAGUGGCUAGAGCACAGGACUAGGAGUCAGAAAGACCUGGGUUCCAAUCCCAACUCUGCCA